GAUGAACGCUGGCGGCGUGCCUAAUACAUGCAAGUCGAGCGAACGGACGAGAAGCCUGCUUCUCUGAUGUUAGCGGCGGACGGGUGAGUAACACGUGGAUAACCUACCUAUAAGACUGGGAUAACUUCGGGAAACCGUAGCUAAUACCGGAUAAUAUUUUGAACCGCAUGGUUCAAAAGUGAAAGACGGUCUUGCUGUCACUUAUAGAUGGAUCCGCGCUGCAUUAGCUAGUUGGUAAGGUAACGGCUUACCAAGGCAACGAUGCAUAGCCGACCUGAGAGGGUGAUCGGCCACACUGGAACUGAGACACGGUCCAGACUCCUACGGGAGGCAGCAGUAGGGAAUCUUCCGCAAUGGGCGAAAGCCUGACGGAGCAACGCCGCGUGAGUGAUGAAGGUCUUCGGAUCGUAAAACUCUGUUAUUAGGGAAGAACAUAUGUGUAAGUAACUGUGCACAUCUUGACGGUACCUAAUCAGAAAGCCACGGCUAACUACGUG
RNAcentral lists this ribosomal RNA (497 nucleotides) under uncultured bacterium. RNAcentral describes it as "partial 16S ribosomal RNA". It matches the Rfam family "Bacterial small subunit ribosomal RNA", at positions 28 to 507 of the family's 1533-position model. The record is from RNAcentral.